AAGUCGUAACAAGGUUUCCGUAGGUGAACCUGCGGAAGGAUCAUUACAGAGUUCAUGCCCUCACGGGUAGAUCUCCCACCCUUGAAUACUAUACCUUUGUUGCUUUGGCGGGCCGCCUUAGCUACUGGCUCCGGCUGGUAAGUGCCCGCCAAAGGACCCCAAAACUCUGAAUAUUAGUGUCGUCUGAGUAAUAUAUAAUAGUUAAAACUUUCAACAACGGAUCUCUUGGUUCUGGCAUCGAUGAAGAACGCAGCGAAGUGCGAUAAGUAAUGUGAAUUGCAGAAUUCAGUGAAUCAUCGAAUCUUUGAACGCACAUUGCGCCCCUUGGUAUUCCGAGGGGCAUGCCCGUUCGAGCGUCAUUAUAACCCCUCAAGCCUAGCUUGGUGUUGGGGCCUGCUGUUACCGGCAGCCCUUAAAAUCAGUGGCGGUGCCAUCUGGCUCUAAGCGUAGUAAUACUUCUCGCUACAGGGUCCCGGUGGAUGCUUGCCAUCAACCCCUAAUUUUCUAUGGUUGACCUCGGAUCGGGUAGGGAUACCCGCUGAACUUA
This 547-nucleotide ribosomal RNA is filed under the name uncultured fungus. RNAcentral's name for it is "eukaryotic LSU rRNA". The stretch from base 206 to 359 matches the Rfam family "5.8S ribosomal RNA". The record is from RNAcentral. Lineage: Eukaryota; Fungi.